AUAAAAGGGUGUAUGAGUCAUUGUAUUGAGAAUAAAUAAGUGGGAGAAUAGGAUAAUAUAUAUAUACAUAUAUAGUUGAGUAAGGGGGGAGAGAGGGGUUAAUCUUGAAUUGAGUAGUACAACUCGGCAUCACUGUAAUUCUUAAAUAUUAGCAUACUAAUUGAGAUCAAUUUCACCUAUUACCUAUAUUUGUUUCCUGCUAUUUCUGUCUUUUGGAGUUGUGUAACAGUGGGCUACAUCAAUUGAUAUUGGCAAUAAUAAUUCAGAUUUUUUGUUUAUGGGCUUAAAAGAAUGCAUGGCUGUUAGAUUGGUAUAGAUAAUAACUUUAUUAACCCUUAAAUUCUGUAGAUGAGUAGCCAAAGGCUAUCUGUUGGAAUGACACCGAAAACACUGAGGCUUCCAAAGCCUGGAGAGAUGCUUUUAUCUGUCCGUGGUUCUCUACUUGGUGUUUACAAGGAAGACAACAUGGAAGCUAUUCACUCACGAGUCUGAAGAGAGCUAACUGGAAAUUUCUCAAGUAGUCAAAUCGUGAGUGCUCUACUGGAGCCAUUGAAUUAUUAUGUAUUAAGAUUUCAUGAUGUAUAACUUGGUCACAGUCUAUUUCUUAAUCUGUAGAGUAGUUUUAGUUUUGUGAGUUCCAAGAAAAUGCUGCUAGUCUGCUUUGGUAAAACUCCAAGGCAAAAUACAUGUUUUAUAUAAAUAUAUUGGAGAACUAAUACAUUUCUUUAUACAGAUAAAACCAGAGUUUUAGUAGUUAAAAUUUCAUAAAAGGGUGAUUCAAAUUCAAAGGUAUGAAUUGAGGAAAUAGAACCAAGAGAAUUGAGAAUUGUAUUGUGUACUUAGAAGAGUUGUCUCUUUGUUGAUUUGUGAUUGGAGCCAUUGAUGUAAUUUCGUUCCACCAUUGUAAAGUUGUAAAGGAUUCAUCAUCUAAUAAAGAUCAAGCCACUAAGGUUGUUCCCACA
This is a long non-coding RNA of Cannabis sativa, 962 nucleotides long. RefSeq lists it as uncharacterized. The record is from RefSeq and is a predicted model, not a curated record. Lineage: Eukaryota; Viridiplantae; Streptophyta; Magnoliopsida; Rosales; Cannabaceae. The transcript is spliced from 2 exons.